RNAcentral lists this ribosomal RNA (367 nucleotides) under uncultured bacterium. Its description in RNAcentral is "bacterial SSU rRNA". It matches the Rfam family "Bacterial small subunit ribosomal RNA", at positions 525 to 896 of the family's 1533-position model. The record is from RNAcentral.
ACGUAGGAUCCAAGCGUUGUCCGGAUUUACUGGGUGUAAAGGGUGCGCAGGCGGACCAAUAAGUCAGGAGUGAAAUCUCGGCGCUCAACGCCGAAACGUCUUUUGAUACUGUUGGUCUUGAAUAAGCGAGAGAUUCGUGGAAUUCCGAGUGUAGCAGUGAAAUGUGUAGAUAUUCGGAAGAACACCAGAGGCGAAGGCAGCGAAUUGGCGCUUUAUUGACGCUCAGGCACGAAAGCAUGGGGAUCAAACAGGAUUAGAUACCCUGGUAGUCCAUGCCCUAAACGAUGAUCACUUGGUGUCGGCCGCAAGGUCGGUGCCGGAGCUAACGCGUUAAGUGAUCCACCUGGGGAGUACGCUCGCAAGGGUG